The sequence is a non-coding RNA, 179 nucleotides long. It matches the Rfam family "6S / SsrS RNA". Rfam says of the family: E. coli 6S RNA was the first non coding RNA to be sequenced, but its function was unknown until recently.
AUUCACCUGCCAUGUCCGUGAGCUUCAUUUUUGUUUUGAACCUUAAUCAAGAAAAGGGAGCCUCAAAUCGAUCUUUGGACAGUAUGCCACUAUAUGUGGACACUGAAAAAAGCUCUGCGGGCACCCACCUGCGAAAGUAGGUUCUUGAACGAUGGGAGUAACGGCAUAUGCGGGGAAUU